UAGGGAAUCUUCCGCAAUGGGCGAAAGCCUGACGGAGCAACGCCGCGUGAGUGAUGAAGGUCUUCGGAUCGUAAAACUCUGUUAUUAGGGAAGAACAAAUGUGUAAGUAACUAUGCACGUCUUGACGGUACCUAAUCAGAAAGCCACGGCUAACUACGUGCCAGCAGCCGCGGUAACACGUAGGUGGCAAGCGUUAUCCGGAAUUAUUGGGCGUAAAGCGCGCGUAGGCGGUUUUUUAAGUCUGAUGUGAAAGCCCACGGCUCAACCGUGGAGGGUCAUUGGAAACUGGAAAACUUGAGUGCAGAAGAGGAAAGUGGAAUUCCAUGUGUAGCGGUGAAAUGCGCAGAGAUAUGGAGGAACACCAGUGGCGAUGGCGACUUUCUGGUCUGUAACUGACGCUGAUGUGCGAAAGCGUGGGGAUCAAACAGG
This 429-nucleotide ribosomal RNA is filed under the name Actinomycetes bacterium. RNAcentral describes it as "Actinobacteria bacterium partial 16S ribosomal RNA". It matches the Rfam family "Bacterial small subunit ribosomal RNA", at positions 355 to 776 of the family's 1533-position model. Lineage: Bacteria; Bacillati; Actinomycetota; Actinomycetes. The record is from RNAcentral.